AUACCUUUCUCGGCCUUUUGGCUAAGAUCAAAUGUAGUAUCUGUUCUUAUCAGUUUAAUAUCUGAUAUGUUGGUCAUUGGCCCACACGAUAUUAACUUUAUUUUUUAAGGGCAGAAGUCCGUCAAGAUAGCUUGCUAUUUGGAUUUACACGAGUCGCCCAUGCGCUGCACUAAUGCAUGGGCGUGGCUCAACCCGC
Molecule: small nuclear RNA, 196 nt
Filed under: Brassica oleracea var. oleracea
Lineage: Eukaryota; Viridiplantae; Streptophyta; Magnoliopsida; Brassicales; Brassicaceae
Description: snRNA U2
Rfam family: U2 spliceosomal RNA
About the family: U2 is a small nuclear RNA (snRNA) component of the spliceosome (involved in pre-mRNA splicing).
Source: Rfam by way of RNAcentral